UUUUACAACCCUCAAACACUCUAAAAAAACCUCUUUAAACUCAGCUGAGUUUUCAGCAACACAUCAGAAAGUUCCAGCCAUAAAAAGUGAGUUUUAACUCACUUCUACUUCAAUUUUCUUCUUGUUUCUUUAUUCUUAACACUUGGAUAACCUCUAGGAAGGUUUUCACAAGUUUUCUUGGGCAAACUAAGGUGAAACCUCACAAUUUUUUAGGUCCAAAGAGCACUUUAAAUUCAGCUCAUUUUUAUCUUUUUAAAUCUUCAUGUUUUGAUAGAAAACUUGAUGGAAACUGGUUCCCACCAAGCUCACAACUUAGUCUAUGGUUGUGGGUUUGUGUUUAGGGGAUUUCCAUCAAAGUUUUGGGCUCAAACACCCAUUUAAUUUCAGUUUAAACUUGAUAAUCGAAUGAUGAAAACAAGCACAAGUCAUCAUCUUCUAUAUGAUGAAAUUGUGACUUGUGAAGUGUGAACAAAUGGAGGCUUUAGCCUUCCAAACUAAGUUCUACUCCUUUAUUUGAACAUUUUUAUGACUUGAUUAGAUUAGAUUUACUUUAUCAUUAUUCAUGACCCUCCCACCAUCUUAAAGAUGGUGUGUAGUGGUAAAUCUUAUAAUGAGGUUUUCUAACCUCCAUGCUUGACAUACAUGAUUCUAUAUAACAAUACUUGAUUGGACAUAGUCUAGGAUAUAUUAUUACCUUAUGAAUACACCUAUUAUUAUAUAGAAACAUGGAUGAGUUUGUGGUGUUAAUCAAGCUAUGAUUAAUCACCAUAAACCUAAGCUAACAUAUCGAAGAUUCUAGAGUACUUGUUAUGAUUCCAAUGAGCAAAUUGGGACCCAUGAAACCACUUGAUAUGGUGUCAUAAAUAAACUCUUAGAACUUAGAUAUUACUUUCAUACAUACAUACUUUGUGUUUUUUUUAAUUCCGAAUUCUGACUCUAAUCAUACCUUGAACUCCAACCUGAAUACAUUCAACCUCCUAAACUCAUUCCCUCGACAACAAUUGGAUAAUCGGAAGAAGUAGCAAUAUUCUUGUCAUGUGGAAUUGUUGAUGAUGACGACGCUAUGAAACUGAAGUAGUGAUGAUGCCUAGAUACACAUUUAGACGUUUUAGGUUUAAAUACGUUGUAUAACUUUCGUACUUGUUUGUUGUAUUGUUUUCUUGUAUCGAACACGUUGUAUUUCAAGUUCCAUGUAUUGUAACAUUUUGUUAUGAAUGAAAUUAAUU
Molecule: long non-coding RNA, 1226 nt
Filed under: Helianthus annuus (common sunflower)
Lineage: Eukaryota; Viridiplantae; Streptophyta; Magnoliopsida; Asterales; Asteraceae
Description: hypothetical non coding rna
Source: RNAcentral